UGCAAACUGGUCCCACCCAUGGCAUCAAUUGUCUAGAAGUGUGUUUCACUGACUUAAACCUGUACAUCUAUCCAAGACAAGAACAUGUGGCACCUAUCAAGGGCCUUUAGACAGACACUUUGUGGAAUACCUCUGACUGCU
This 141-nucleotide long non-coding RNA is filed under the name Chinchilla lanigera (long-tailed chinchilla). RNAcentral describes it as "lncRNA (ENSCLAG00000028320.1)". The record is from RNAcentral. Lineage: Eukaryota; Metazoa; Chordata; Mammalia; Rodentia; Chinchillidae.